GAUGAACGCUGGCGGCGUGCCUAAUACAUGCAAGUCGAGCGAACAGACGAGGAGCUUGCUCCUCUGACGUUAGCGGCGGACGGGUGAGUAACACGUGGAUAACCUACCUAUAGGACUGGGAUAACUUCGGGAAACCGGAGCUAAUACCGGAUAAUAUAUUGAACCGCGUGGUUCAAUAGUGAAAGACGGUUUUGCUGUCACUUAUAGAUGGAUCCGCGCCGCAUUAGCUAGUUGGUAAGGUAACGGCUUACCAAGGCGACGAUGCGUAGCCGACCUGAGAGGGUGAUCGGCCACACUGGAACUGAGACACGGUCCAGACUCCUACGGGAGGCAGCAGUAGGGAAUCUUCCGCAAUGGGCGAAAGCCUGACGGAGCAACGCCGCGUGAGUGAUGAAGGUCUUCGGAUCGUAAAACUCUGUUAUUAGGGAAGAACAAAUGUGUAAGUAACUAUGCACGUCUUGACGGUACCUAAUCAGAAAGCCACGGCUAACUACGUG
RNAcentral lists this ribosomal RNA (497 nucleotides) under uncultured bacterium. RNAcentral's name for it is "partial 16S ribosomal RNA". It matches the Rfam family "Bacterial small subunit ribosomal RNA", at positions 28 to 507 of the family's 1533-position model. The record is from RNAcentral.